Oncorhynchus gorbuscha (pink salmon) is the source of this 773-nucleotide long non-coding RNA. RefSeq lists it as uncharacterized. The transcript has 2 exons. Lineage: Eukaryota; Metazoa; Chordata; Actinopteri; Salmoniformes; Salmonidae. The record is from RefSeq and is a predicted model, not a curated record.
GAAAAGUCACGCCUUGCGAAUUUUAUUGAAGACUUAGUUGUUAGUUUUGCAUGGGAACGUGUGACAGGUUAAAGGACAUAUUCAUAGCCUGUUAUACAUUGAAAAGUAUUAGUAAGUUCAUAGUAUGUGAGGAUCUUAAAACAUCUAAGGUUAAAAAGAUGCAUUCAGUAUUAGUUGAUAGAGAUUGAUAACAUUCAUAUAAUUGUGUUAAAGUUCAAAUCUGUCAAAGGGUACGAAUUGUGAGAGUAAUGUGUAAACGUUAUAUUGAUUACUUUAUUUUGUGGUGCCUAAAAGUGUUAAUCUGUGAUCUACGAAAUGCUCUUAAUCUAUGAGCCGGAGAUCGAUUGCUCUGGUCUCCACGCAUAUUCCUGGGGAAAUUCGCGGUCUUUUCUCAUUGAACUAAAUGUUGACUUGAGAAUACAACACCGUAUCACUCUCGUGAUUAUCUCUCCCCUGGUUUCAGGUACUUUAUUGAUGAUAAAAAUAGUAAUUUAAAUGUUAUAACUAGCGAACAUGUCAAGAGUGUUUAAGGUGUGUUUUAGUAACGUCUUGAGGAAGUUAGAGUUAAGGUUGAAGAGAGUAAUAUUAGCCCUGCUCGGUUGAAGUGAAGGAUAGCGUCGUACUGAGAGUAGCUGCCAUUUUAUGUCGAUUGUGAAUGAACAUGCGUGUUGUUAAUAAGAUAUUUUGCUGUGUUAUUUGUAUAAUGGGUUUUCUGUUAUGUAAUGUGUUACUUUUGUGAAAUGAUUGAACUAAAUGUUGACUUGAGAAUACAA